This 253-nucleotide ribosomal RNA is filed under the name uncultured bacterium. Its description in RNAcentral is "partial 16S ribosomal RNA". It matches the Rfam family "Bacterial small subunit ribosomal RNA", at positions 524 to 776 of the family's 1533-position model. The record is from RNAcentral.
UACGGACUGUGCAAACGUUAUUCGGAAUCACUGGGCUUAAAGAGUCCGUAGGCGGCAUGUUAGGUGAGGUGUGAAAUCCCCCGGCUCAACCGAGGAAUUGCGCUUCAAACCGGCGUGCUUGAGGAAGAUAGAGGUAAGCGGAACUUACGGUGGAGCGGUGAAAUGCGUUGAUAUCGUAAGGAACACCUGUGGCGAAAGCGGCUUACUGGGUCUUUUCUGACGCUGAUGCACGAAAGCCAGGGGAGCAAACGGG